GCGUUGUUCGGAUUUACUGGGCGUAAAGGGCGCGUAGGCGGCGUGACAAGUCACUUGUGAAAUCUCCGGGCUUAACUCGGAACGGUCAAGUGAUACUGUCGUGCUAGAGUACAGAAGGGGCAACUGGAAUUCUCGGUGUAGCGGUGAAAUGCGUAGAUAUCGAGAGGAACACCUGCGGCGAAGGCGGGUUGCUGGGCUGAUACUGACGCUGAGGCGCGAAAGCUAGGGGAGCGAACGGG
Molecule: ribosomal RNA, 239 nt
Filed under: uncultured bacterium
Lineage: Bacteria
Description: partial 16S ribosomal RNA
Rfam family: Bacterial small subunit ribosomal RNA
Source: RNAcentral